UACGAAGGGGGCUAGCGUUGCUCGGAAUUACUGGGCGUAAAGCGCACGUAGGCGGUUUCUUAAGUCGGGGGUGAAAUCCUGGAGCUCAACUCCAGAACUGCCUUCGAUACUGAGAGACUUGAGUCCGGGAGAGGUGAGUGGAACUGCGAGUGUAGAGGUGAAAUUCGUAGAUAUUCGCAAGAACACCAGUGGCGAAGGCGGCUACCUGGCCUAAUACUGACACUGAGGCACGAAAGCGUGGGGAGCAAACAGG
This 253-nucleotide ribosomal RNA is filed under the name uncultured bacterium. Its description in RNAcentral is "partial 16S ribosomal RNA". It matches the Rfam family "Bacterial small subunit ribosomal RNA", at positions 524 to 776 of the family's 1533-position model. The record is from RNAcentral.